Long non-coding RNA from Impatiens glandulifera, 1658 nucleotides. RefSeq lists it as uncharacterized. The transcript has 4 exons. The record is from RefSeq and is a predicted model, not a curated record. NCBI's taxonomy places the organism in Eukaryota, Viridiplantae, Streptophyta, Magnoliopsida, Ericales, Balsaminaceae.
AAAAACUAUGUUGAAUCGCACUCUUCUAGACACGAUCCGAGACGAUCCUAAUACCAGUGAUAAUACCAGUGAAGGUAAAAACAGUUGGAAGGUCUUCAGAGACAAACUCCGUCUUCGCCGUGCAGGAGCCGCCUGGAUUUCCAGCGUGCCGACACCUACCUCCGAUGUCAACAUUCCAACCUACAACAGACUUGUUUCCAGGCGCGGAUCAGGUCGUUAAAAUUGAGUCAUUAAGAUCGAUCGGAAAAGCAAGCCCAUCUCUCUUUUCUUCGCGUCUCUCUUCUCGGUCGGUCGGAGCUCUGCGCCAGUUAAAAGGAGAAGUGUGAUCGGAGAGUGAAAUCCACCACCCGACGACCUUUCCUUCCACAUCAUCCUCAAGUCGGUCAGUUCUUCUCAUUUCAUUUCUAAUAAUUAAUGGCUUAGACAAACCCUAAAUUCCAAAACUUUCUUACCAUGUUUGAUCAAUCAAUAUAUUCGAGUUAAUCAAUAAUCAUGUUUCUUUAAUUAGUUUAUCAAUGAAACUCUUUCUUGACGGAAAAUGGAUGAAGGUUCGCCCCAUUGCACCACAAAACAUUAUUUGGUUUAAGGGUUUUUUUUGGGGCAAGCUGAUAUUAUUUUUUGGAUAUGAUCGAGAUUUAUUUGGUAUAAGAAUUAGUUUCUGCAUCAAUAUCCCCAAAUUGUAGUAUAAUGUUCUGCUUCAAUUGAGAAUGUUUUGUUUCUGAUUUUUUACCAAAAUAACAAAUGUAUCUUUUUCAUAUUCAUAUCCUGUUGAUGCUGUUGAUGCGCUAAGAGAACCUAUGAGUGCACUGUUCAUAGUUGCAGUCUGAGUUUGAUGUACUAUCAGCCAAGCAAAAGGGCAACAAUGGAGGAAUAUACAUUUGCCACCCAGUAUGAAAUUACACAAAAAAAAAGUCCAAUUCAGAAUUAAAAGUAUCAAUACACUCCUCCACCACCAAAUCCUCCGCGUCUCUCUUCUCGGUCGGUCGGAGCUUUGCGCCAGUUAAGAGGAGAAGUGUGAUCGGAGAGUGAAAUCCACCACCCGACGACCGUUCCUUCCACAUCAUCCUCAGAGAACCUAUUAGUGCACUGUUCAUAGUUGCAGUCUGGGUUAAUGUACUAUCAGCCAAGCAAAAGGGCAACAAUGGAGGAAGAUACAUCUGCCACCCAGUAUGAAGAUUACACGAAAAAAGUCCAAUUCAGGUUCAUACCCCAAUUCAGAAUUAAAAGUAUCAAUACACUCUUCCACCACUGAAUCCUCCGCGUCUCUCUUCUCGGUCGGUCGGAGCUCUACGCCAGUUAAGAGGAGAAGUGUGAUCGGAGAGUGAAAUCCACCAACCGACGAUCGUUCCUUCCACAUCAUCCUCAGGUCGGUCAGUUCUUCUCAUCUCAUAUCAUUUCUAAUAAUUAAUGCUCAGACAAACCCUAAUUUCCCAAACUUUCUUACCCUGUUUGAUCAAUCAAUGUAUUCGAGUCAAUCAAUAAUCAUGUUUCUUUAAUUAGUUAAUCAAUGAAACUCUUUCUUGACGGAAAAUGGAUGAAGGUUCGCCCCAUUGUACCUCAAAACAUUAUUUGGUUUAAGGGUUUUUUUUGGGGCAAGCUGAUAUUAUUUUUUGGAUAUGAUCGAGAUUUUUCAUUUGGUAUAAGAAUUAGUUUCUGCA